GACUCCAUAAUGUUGCAGUUAGCACAUCUGCUUUACAUGCAGAAGGUCCUGGGUUCGCGCCCCACUGGAGCCA
This 73-nucleotide transfer RNA is filed under the name Pteropus alecto (black flying fox). It matches the Rfam family "tRNA". Rfam says of the family: Transfer RNA (tRNA) molecules are approximately 80 nucleotides in length. Lineage: Eukaryota; Metazoa; Chordata; Mammalia; Chiroptera; Pteropodidae. The record is from Rfam by way of RNAcentral.